This 897-nucleotide ribosomal RNA is filed under the name Escherichia coli. RNAcentral's name for it is "partial 23S ribosomal RNA". It matches the Rfam family "Bacterial large subunit ribosomal RNA", at positions 336 to 1238 of the family's 2925-position model. The record is from RNAcentral. Lineage: Bacteria; Pseudomonadati; Pseudomonadota; Gammaproteobacteria; Enterobacterales; Enterobacteriaceae.
AAGCGUCUGGAAAGGCGCGCGAUACAGGGUGACAGCCCCGUACACAAAAAUGCACAUACUGUGAGCUCGAUGAGUAGGGCGGGACACGUGGUAUCCUGUCUGAAUAUGGGGGGACCAUCCUCCAAGGCUAAAUACUCCUGACUGACCGAUAGUGAACCAGUACCGUGAGGGAAAGGCGAAAAGAACCCCGGCGAGGGGAGUGAAAAAGAACCUGAAACCGUGUACGUACAAGCAGUGGGAGCCUCUUAAUGGGGUGACUGCGUACCUUUUGUAUAAUGGGUCAGCGACUUAUAUUCUGUAGCAAGGUUAACCGAAUAGGGGAGCCGAAGGGAAACCGAGUCUUAACUGGGCGUUAAGUUGCAGGGUAUAGACCCGAAACCCGGUGAUCUAGCCAUGGGCAGGUUGAAGGUUGGGUAACACUAACUGGAGGACCGAACCGACUAAUGUUGAAAAAUUAGCGGAUGACUUGUGGCUGGGGGUGAAAGGCCAAUCAAACCGGGAGAUAGCUGGUUCUCCCCGAAAGCUAUUUAGGUAGCGCCUCGUGAAUUCAUCUCCGGGGGUAGAGCACUGUUUCGGCAAGGGGGUCAUCCCGACUUACCAACCCGAUGCAAACUGCGAAUACCGGAGAAUGUUAUCACGGGAGACACACGGCGGGUGCUAACGUCCGUCGUGAAGAGGGAAACAACCCAGACCGCCAGCUAAGGUCCCAAAGUCAUGGUUAAGUGGGAAACGAUGUGGGAAGGCCCAGACAGCCAGGAUGUUGGCUUAGAAGCAGCCAUCAUUUAAAGAAAGCGUAAUAGCUCACUGGUCGAGUCGGCCUGCGCGGAAGAUGUAACGGGGCUAAACCAUGCACCGAAGCUGCGGCAGCGACACUAUGUGUUGUUGGGUAGGGGAGCG